CUGCUGCCUCCCGUAGGAGUCUGGUCCGUGUCUCAGUACCAGUGUGGGGGACCUUCCUCUCAGAACCCCUACGCAUCGUCGCCUUGGUGGGCCGUUACCCCGCCAACUAGCUAAUGCGCCGCAUGCCCAUCCGUCUCCGAUAUUCUUUCAAAACCAGACGAUGCCGUCCAGCUUCAUACGGGGUAUUAGACGCCGUUUCCGACGAUUAUCCCCCUGAGACGGGCAGGUUGCAUACGUGUUACUCACCCGUGCGCCGGUCGCCGG
This 264-nucleotide ribosomal RNA is filed under the name uncultured bacterium. RNAcentral's name for it is "partial 16S ribosomal RNA". The record is from RNAcentral.